RNAcentral lists this ribosomal RNA (492 nucleotides) under uncultured bacterium. Its description in RNAcentral is "partial 16S ribosomal RNA". It matches the Rfam family "Bacterial small subunit ribosomal RNA", at positions 29 to 507 of the family's 1533-position model. The record is from RNAcentral.
AGCGAACGCUGGCGGUAGGCUUAACACAUGCAAGUCGAACGGCAGCACAGUAAGAGCUUGCUCUUACGGGUGGCGAGUGGCGGACGUGUGAGGUAUACAUCGGAAUCUACUUUUUCGUGGGGGAUAACGUAGGGAAACUUACGCCAAUACCGCAUAUGACGCUCGGGUGAAAGCAGGGGAACUUCGGACCUUGUGCGAUUGAAUUAGCCGAUGUCGGAUUAGCUAGUUGGUGGGGUAAAGGCCUACCAAGGCGACGAUCCGUAGCUGGUCUGAGAGGAUGAUCAGCCGCACUGGAACUGGGACACCGUCCAGACUCCUACGAGAGGCAGCAGUGGGGUAUAGUAGACAGUGGGCGCAAACCUGAUCCAGCCAUACCACGUGGGUGAAGGAGACCUUGGGGUUGUAAAGCCCGUUUGUUGGGAGAAAAAAGCAGCAGGUUAAUACGCCGCUGUUCUGACGGUACCCAAUGAAUAAGCACCGGCUAACUACGUG